GGAGGAAAGUAGGGGAUCGUAAGACCUCCCGUUAAUGGAGUGGCAGAUAUCUGAUUAGCUAGUUGGUGAGGUAAAGGCUCACCAAGGCGACGAUCAGUAGCUGGUCUGAGAGGACGACCAGCCACACUGGAACUGAGACACGGUCCAGACUCCUACGGGAGGCAGCAGUGGGGAAUUUUGGACAAUGGGCGCAAGCCUGAUCCAGCCAUUCCGCGUGAGUGAAGAAGGCCUUCGGGUUGUAAAGCUCUUUCGCAAGGGAAGAAAACUUACUCAAUAACACUGGGUGAGGCUGACGGUACCUUGAUAAGAAGCACCGGCUAACUACGUGCCAGCAGCCGCGGUAAUACGUAGGGUGCGAGCGUUAAUCGGAAUUACUGGGCGUAAAGCGUGCGCAGGCGGUUUUGUAAGUCAGAUGUGAAAGCCCCGGGCUCAACCUGGGAACUGCGUUUGAAACUACAAGGCUAG
Molecule: ribosomal RNA, 465 nt
Filed under: uncultured bacterium
Lineage: Bacteria
Description: bacterial SSU rRNA
Rfam family: Bacterial small subunit ribosomal RNA
Source: RNAcentral